RNAcentral lists this small RNA (475 nucleotides) under Pan troglodytes (chimpanzee). Its description in RNAcentral is "processed transcript". Lineage: Eukaryota; Metazoa; Chordata; Mammalia; Primates; Hominidae. The record is from RNAcentral.
GAAAGUCUUGUUGUUACUUUGUAUUGAAGUUACUCCUGUACUUUGUCUCCCUUCAUGGAGGGCAGGGACUAUUUGCACCCUAGGCAACUACUGCAGUGCAUAGCUCCAGGAUGUGUCUAGCAAAUGUUAUGGGAAUGAAAUGGAUACAUACUAAGAAGGAACUGAUGAUGUUGUAGGCCCUGAAGGCAUGGAGAAAUUUUGUGAAGACAUUGGUGUUGAACCAGAAAACGUAGUUAUGCUUGUCCUAGCUUGGAAAUUGGAUGCACAAAACAUGGGUUAUUUUACUCUACAGGAGUGGUUAAAAGGAAUGACUUCUCUCCAAUGUGAUACAACAGAAAAACUCAGAAAUACUUUGGAUUACUUAAGAUCAUUCUUAAAUGAUUCUACAAACUUUAAACUUAUUUACAGAUAUGCGUUUGACUUUGCACGGGAAAAGGACCAGCGCAGCCUAGACAUAAACACUGCCAAGUGCAUG